UACGUAGGUGGCAAGCGUUAUCCGGAUUUAUUGGGCGUAAAGGGAACGCAGGCGGUCUUUUAAGUCUGAUGUGAAAGCCUUCGGCUUAACCGGAGUAGUGCAUUGGAAACUGGGAGACUUGCGUGCAGAAGAGGAGAGUGGAACUCCAUGUGUAGCGGUGAAAUGCGUAGAUAUAUGGAAGAACACCAGUGGCGAAAGCGGCUCUCUGGUCUGUAACUGACGCUGAGGUUCGAAAGCGUGGGUAGCAAACAGG
This 253-nucleotide ribosomal RNA is filed under the name uncultured bacterium. RNAcentral's name for it is "partial 16S ribosomal RNA". It matches the Rfam family "Bacterial small subunit ribosomal RNA", at positions 524 to 776 of the family's 1533-position model. The record is from RNAcentral.